This 142-nucleotide small RNA is filed under the name Flavobacterium croceum DSM 17960. RNAcentral's name for it is "Flavo-1 RNA". It matches the Rfam family "Flavo-1 RNA". The record is from Rfam by way of RNAcentral. Lineage: Bacteria; Pseudomonadati; Bacteroidota; Flavobacteriia; Flavobacteriales; Flavobacteriaceae.
GAAUAGCCCAGAUUGUAGUGAAAAGCCUUUUUUAUGGAAAACUACUUUUUGUUGUUUUUAAAAAGCGACACCAGAAGCUCUUUUAAAAACGUACAAAAUGGGUUUGGAAUAAAAAAGCUUGAAACGAAAAGCUGGAAUGGCU